RNAcentral lists this long non-coding RNA (4422 nucleotides) under Citrus x clementina. Its description in RNAcentral is "Citrus clementina (C. clementina) long non-coding RNA (CCLE_LNC001746)". Lineage: Eukaryota; Viridiplantae; Streptophyta; Magnoliopsida; Sapindales; Rutaceae. The record is from RNAcentral.
AUCAUUAUUCUUCAUUGAAUACACGUAAAUUAAGCAAAGUUUAAAAUUUUUGGCAACAUAACAUUUAUUUUUUGUAGCAAUUUUCCCUUCUAAAAUAAAAAUCCAAGCUAAUAAUUUAUCCAAAUAACCUCUUAAAAAAUAUCACGACAUAAAGAAAUAGUUCAAACGUACAAAACUCAUUGAAAGUCAUCUUCGGAUAAUAGCAUAAAAGUGUACACAUUUCUAUUUGCUAAAACAUAGUCACAAAAUAAUAAAGUGAUAUAAUAGUUGCAAUAUAAUCACAUAAAAUGUGGAUUGUGUGAAAUAACCUAAGUAUAUACAUCCACGUUCCCAAAUACUAUUGCAAAAUAUCAUUGUUAAGUUAUAAAUGCAUGCUCCCCAAUCAAAAGGCUAGCUAAAUAACAGACAGUAAAUUCUUAACACCAUUUACAUCCUUCAAUGCAGCAAAUUUCUCAAGUUGAUUUCUUGGAGACGAAGGAACUAACAAAAUGUCAAUUCCUUGAUCAAUGCCACCAGCUUUUACUUUCCAUGAAACCAAUGUCAUAGGCUUUGGAUCAUCAGCUUUUACAAAUGUCACGUCUGGCUCCUUGCAGCAAGUUUCAUCUAACUUCAGUUUCCCAAGCAAAUUUCACAAGUAUCGGCUUUUACAAAUCUUCGGUUUGAAUAGUUCAGUCUCUUCAAUUUGCUUCAAUACUUGUUUCUGAAAUACCAAACACGAAGCCUAAAUAUUAGAAAAUAAAGAUUUAAUUAUAUAAAUCUUGAUAAUUAAAAAGCUUUAAUUACUUUCUCUAUUUUACUUAAGAAACCACUGACAUAUUCUUGUCUCCAAAACUUAGCAACACACUUGACCAAGUCUUUAAAUCAAAGGACACUGAUUUAAGUAUAACAAAGUGGAAAGUUUCAGCACCCUUUACAUCCUUCAAUUUCACAGCAGGACAUUAUAAAUGCAAAGAAAACAUGAAGUUUAGACAAUCUGUGUACAGCCAAAAGGCUAGCUAACAUUUCAAAAUCAACCAAGAAUGCCACCAAAAUUCAAUAACAUAUUUGCAUAGCUUUCUCUUCUGAUAGAAUAAUUGAAAAAUUCCAACGUAUAUAAUGAUGAUAUAUGUCCACCGAGAUUAAAGCUAUCAUGUAAAUUAGGUAAACCCAACCCAAAUGAGAUAUAAAAUAAUCCAAAACCCAAAUCACCAUGACUAAAAUAAUUCAAAAUCUAAUUAAAAAAAAUUAAUAAUUUACCUUGAUACUCUGCUACAAUUGUGUGAUGAAGCUCCAAUGAAGGAUUCGUCAAUGGAGUCCGGAGGCUGCAGCCUAAAUUUAUACGGCAAAGCUGAACAGGUUUAGCGUGCAGGCAGCAAAGACGAAGUACGGCGACGGUGUUUUGCGAGCAUUUACUCAAAUAAAAUAAAAAAAUCAGCAACUCACAAUAGUAGAGACGGAGCUGACAGAGCAGUAGCAGUCGAGGCAGUCGAGACGGAGCAGUGACGGUGGCGGAGAUGGAGCAAUAACAGUGGCCCAAUGAAGCAGCGGCGGCGGCCAGUACAGCAGCCGUUUUGGACACAACGAGAGAGAGUAACCACUGUGAGUAGAUCGCGAGAGAGAGUCGAAGAGAUAAAGCACACCGAGAGAGUAAACGCUGUGAGUAGAUCAGGAGAGAGAGUUGAAGAGACAAGCCCGAAGAGACAAGGAUGAAGUGAGAGUCGCUGGAGUUUGUUUUUUAAUCUAUUUUUUAGUUUAGUUUUGGAAUAUGGCGAGAACAUGUUAAACACGUUCUCACUUUCACAGUUAUAAAAGUGAAUCUCAAAUUAUUUGUUUUAUCAUUUGAUUUUUGAAAUCGAGCCACCAAACGCGUACUAACUUAAAUUUAGAAAAGGAAAAUGAAAACAGGGCCUCUAAAACGAUACCAAACGGGCCCUUUGUCAUGACCCAACCCAGACCUGGUAAGAUAUUGUCCGCUUUGGGCCUUAAGAAGGCCCGCACGGAUUUGUUCUUGGGGCGCCCAUACACCCCAAAACGCGUCUUGCCAAUUAAGGUGUGGAUCACCCCUUAUAAAGCCAGCAUCUCUCCCGUGCUUUGCCGAUGUGGGAUUCGCCUAGGGUCAAUGUCAUGACCCAACCCAGACCUGGCAAGAUAUUGUCCGCUUUGGGCCUUAACAAGUCCCGCACGGAUUUGUUCUUGGGGCGCCCAUACACCCCAAAACGCGUCUUGCCAAUUAAGGUGUGAAUCACCCCUUAUAAACCCAGCAUCUCUCCCGUGCUUUGCCGAUGUGGGAUUCGCCUAGGGUGUUACAUACACCCCCCUUGGGGACUCAGCGUCCUCGCUGAGGUUUGCCCCACCAUCGCUCAAGAGGACAUGCGGAGCCGCUCUGAUACCACAAUGUCAUGACCCAACCCAGACCUGGCAAGAUAUUGUCCGCUUUGGGCCUUAACAAGGCCCGCACGGAUUUGUUCUUGGGGCGCCCAUACACCUCAAAACGCGUCUUGCCAAUUAAGGUGUGGAUCACCCCUUAUAAACCCAGCAUCUCUCCCGUGCUUUGCCGAUGUGGGAUUCGCCUAGGGUGUUACACCCUUAGCAUUUGGGAAAUGAGAAAUUGAUUGAUUUCCAUUUUUAUAUUUUAAAUUAAAUAAUAUGUUUUAAUUAAAUUGACUGAACCGAUUGGUUUGUCGGUUCUGGUUUUGAGUCAAAUUGAACGCAAAUCAAUUGAUUCUCAAUAUUCUUCCAUCAUUCUCAGCAGGGAUGAUAUUUUUUCUUAACGGGAUGGAAUCCUGCGGAAUCCCAUUAUAUUUAGGAUGAAAUUAAAAUAUAUUUUUGUCUUAUAAAAAAAUAAAUAAAAGUGAAAUAUUUUUUUAUUCUAUUUGUAUAUACGGGAUGAGAUUGGAAUUAGUAAAUUCCGUCUCAUCCCAUCUCAUUACCGAUUAAGAAUUAAAAUUUUUUCAAUUGGGAUGAGAUCUUACAAGAUUCUAUCUUUUUUGGAACGAGAUUAGAAUAUAUUUUUUUCCAAAAAAUAUAAAGACAUAGGCCCAUCAUAUAUGGAUGUAAGUGGGAUGAAAAAAUGUCUUACUGGAAAAUGAUGUUCUCACAAAGCUUUACACAAAACGGUUCAUUUUGUGCAAAGUAUAAAAGCCAUUUACACUUGCAAGCAGCAACACCACACACGCACGGAACAAAGAGUGCAGCAACGUUUCUCUUGUCUCUCUCUCUCUCUCAUUCUCCCUAUUUUAUCCCCCACCACACCGUAGUGCAGCAACCAUGCUAAUACUCAUGAUGUUACGAAUGGUACAAAGCUUCCCAUUCAGAGAAACAAUUGCUGCAGUCCUUGGCAAUCAUAAGCAAUUUGAAGAACCCAAUCAAACCAAACUGAGAAGGUCCCUCAUGUAAGAACAAAAUUCAAGCAACCAUAAGCAGAGCAAUCAACAUUAAUCACCAAAUUAAUAUGUGCUUUGUAAAAUAAUUUGAAGACCACGAUAUCCUUAACAAGAACAAUAACCAGUCAAAAUUAUGAGGCCUCAAAAACAUAUUAUUAAUUAAUCUUUAACAAUUAAGCAGCCUGCAUUUUUAAUUACAAAUUAAUCUUUAAUCAAUUAAGCCGAUUGUGUUGGGGGUCAGAGAGCAAUGCAGCUGAGAUCGACAGAAUGAAGACAACAUAUCCGAGAGAGUGAGGAAGAUCGAAGCAGAAAGAGUGAGGGAGACCGGAGCUGAGAGAGUGAGGGAGAUCGGAGCCCAGGGAGCCAUCUAGAUGCUUCAAGUGAGAGACGAGAGAGCUGUCACUGUUGCUGCGUCGUAAGGGAGAACGGAGUUGAUAUCGAGCUUGUGUGCACACAAGAGAGAGAGAAAAAUGUUGCUGUGUGUUGGGGGAGAAAAGAGGGAGACUGGAGAGAGAAAUGAGAAGAACGUUGCUGCAGGAUUUGUUGCGUGCGUGUGUGGUGUUGUUGCUUGCACGUGUGAAUGGCUUUUAUACUUUGCACAAAAUGAAUCGUUUUGUGCAAAGCUUUGUGUUGAGCUUUAUGAGAACAUCAUUUUCCAGUAAGACAUUUUUUCAUCCCACUUGCAUCCAUUACCAACGCUAGUUCAUAAAGUUGGCAAAAAAGAGAUAAGAGCUCGUGGGAUGAAAACAUAAAUAAGGGCUCACCAAAUGCAAAGCCCAUAUAUGAUGGGCCUAGUUAAAGGCUUUUAACAGAAGUUCGAGUUUUAUAACAUAUAUUAUUCGUUUUUUCUUUACAAAAAAACUUUAUAAUAUGGGUCCACCUAAGUUAUAAUUAAUGUAACUUACGGCUACUCUAUAAAAUUUCGUUCAACCCAUUAUACUCUAACUAUUUAUAAUUUAUUCAUAAGUAUUAUAAAAUUAUUUGGAUUGUAAAAUUUUGUUUAGCCCCUUACACUCUAUUUUAUUUCAUUGAAACCCCUAGAGUUCCAAUUCUCCCCCUA